Non-coding RNA from Necator americanus (New World hookworm), 72 nucleotides. The record is from Rfam. NCBI's taxonomy places the organism in Eukaryota, Metazoa, Nematoda, Chromadorea, Rhabditida, Ancylostomatidae.
GGGGGUAUAGCUCAGGGGUAGAGCGCUCGCUUUGCAUGCGAGAAUUCUGGGGUUCGAUUCCCCAUACCUCCA